RNAcentral lists this long non-coding RNA (1054 nucleotides) under Monodelphis domestica (gray short-tailed opossum). Its description in RNAcentral is "lncRNA (ENSMODG00000045280.1)". Lineage: Eukaryota; Metazoa; Chordata; Mammalia; Didelphimorphia; Didelphidae. The record is from RNAcentral.
UGUCUUCAGGAUGAAUAUUAAUAUUAAAUUUAACAUCUUUCCCUUAUAUAUCAUAAAUUAUUAUAAUUUUGAUUCCCUGCAUAAAAUUACUUUCUUAAAGAUUAUAUAAAAUUGGUCUUACUCAAUUGGAAUAAUCUUUUUUUACUCAAUUAAAAUUUUUUUUCAAUUAUGUAUAGAAACUAUUUCCCCCUCUUUCCAUACUGAAGAAGGUAGGUAAAAUGAUAUAGUUUAUACAUAUGUUAUCAUAUAAUACACAUUUCCCUGUUUGUCAUAUUGUUAAACAUUAUAUAUUGCUUUCAUUAGAAGAAACUUCAGGGAGGAAAAAAAGUGAAGAAUGACAAAUUUCAGUCUUCAUUCGGACACCAUCUGUGGUUCUGAAUAUCUUUUUUCAUCAUAAAUCCCUUGGAGUUUUCCUGUAUCCUUGCAUUGUUGAUAGUAAAGUCAUUCAGAGCUGAUCAUACAUUAAUAAAAAUUUUAGGUAAAGAAAGAUGCUACCUCUCCAAAUCCAGAAAUGGAACUGUUGGAGAAGAUACCAUGAAGACGCCUCCAGACCACAAGCUGCACAAGAAGAUAAAAAUUAACUUUGGGUGUGGUUGAUUGAACAUUUAUUUGUAUCUAUACUUUCAUGACAAAGGGGACUGGCCCCUAACUGACUUUUUGUCAAUGUGUCUGGCAACUAUUGGCUUUGUUCUUUUUUUCCUCUUAUCCUCAAAUUAUUAUACUCUUUAAGUUGAUUAUGUUUUCAUGAUCCUUUGGGGAAAUUAUUUUUCCGGGGAAAUGUAAAAAUGGAGAUUUGAACCCCGGACUUCAAUCCCCAGAAGUCCUUGCUCUAGUUCCCAAGAUGCCCUCUAAUCUCACCUAAAUUCCCACCUGUGCUGAGAACAGAAAUUGUUUUUAAACUGACUCCAUCUUCUGCUGGCUCUCUUCCUGCUUGCAUUUCCAGAGACACAUGUCUCUCAUGAUGUAGUGUAAGUGAAUGGGCCAUUCGGCCCUCCUAUGCACAUGCUUUCUUAUUUUGUAUUUUCUUUAUUUUUUAAUCUUUAAUAAACCUCUA